AUUGAACGCUGGCGGCAUGCCUUACACAUGCAAGUCGAACGGCAGCACGGGUGCUUGCACCUGGUGGCGAGUGGCGAACGGGUGAGUAAUACAUCGGAACGUACCUUAUCGUGGGGGAUAACGCAGCGAAAGCUGUGCUAAUACCGCAUACGCCCUGAGGGGGAAAGCGGGGGAUCGAAAGACCUCGCGCGAUUAGAGCGGCCGAUGCCUGAUUAGCUUGUUGGUGGGGUAAAGCCCACCAAGGCGACGAUCAGUAGCUGGUCUGAGAGGACGAUCAGCCACACUGGGACUGAGACACGGCCCAGACUCCUACGGGAGGCAGCAGUGGGGAAUUUUGGGACAAUGGGGGAAACCCUGAUCCAGCAAUGCCGCGUGAGUGAAGAAGGCCUUCGGGUUGCAAAGCUCUUUGUCAGGAG
This 416-nucleotide ribosomal RNA is filed under the name uncultured bacterium. RNAcentral describes it as "bacterial SSU rRNA". It matches the Rfam family "Bacterial small subunit ribosomal RNA", at positions 30 to 444 of the family's 1533-position model. The record is from RNAcentral.